This 1372-nucleotide ribosomal RNA is filed under the name Salmonella enterica. RNAcentral describes it as "partial 23S ribosomal RNA". It matches the Rfam family "Bacterial large subunit ribosomal RNA", at positions 1589 to 2925 of the family's 2925-position model. Lineage: Bacteria; Pseudomonadati; Pseudomonadota; Gammaproteobacteria; Enterobacterales; Enterobacteriaceae. RNAcentral also lists the same sequence under 3 other names. The record is from RNAcentral.
AGCAACAAAUGCCCUGCUUCCAGGAAAAGCCUCUAAGCAUCAGGUAACAUCAAAUCGUACCCCAAACCGACACAGGUGGUCAGGUAGAGAAUACCAAGGCGCUUGAGAGAACUCGGGUGAAGGAACUAGGCAAAAUGGUGCCGUAACUUCGGGAGAAGGCACGCUGACACGUAGGUGAAGUGAUUUACUCAUGGAGCUGAAGUCAGUCGAAGAUACCAGCUGGCUGCAACUGUUUAUUAAAAACACAGCACUGUGCAAACACGAAAGUGGACGUAUACGGUGUGACGCCUGCCCGGUGCCGGAAGGUUAAUUGAUGGGGUCAGCGCAAGCGAAGCUCCUGAUCGAAGCCCCGGUAAACGGCGGCCGUAACUAUAACGGUCCUAAGGUAGCGAAAUUCCUUGUCGGGUAAGUUCCGACCUGCACGAAUGGCGUAAUGAUGGCCAGGCUGUCUCCACCCGAGACUCAGUGAAAUUGAACUCGCUGUGAAGAUGCAGUGUACCCGCGGCAAGACGGAAAGACCCCGUGAACCUUUACUAUAGCUUGACACUGAACAUUGAGCCUUGAUGUGUAGGAUAGGUGGGAGGCUUUGAAGUGUGGACGCCAGUCUGCAUGGAGCCGACCUUGAAAUACCACCCUUUAAUGUUUGAUGUUCUAACGUGGACCCGUGAUCCGGGUUGCGGACAGUGUCUGGUGGGUAGUUUGACUGGGGCGGUCUCCUCCUAAAGAGUAACGGAGGAGCACGAAGGUUGGCUAAUCCUGGUCGGACAUCAGGAGGUUAGUGCAAUGGCAUAAGCCAGCUUGACUGCGAGCGUGACGGCGCGAGCAGGUGCGAAAGCAGGUCAUAGUGAUCCGGUGGUUCUGAAUGGAAGGGCCAUCGCUCAACGGAUAAAAGGUACUCCGGGGAUAACAGGCUGAUACCGCCCAAGAGUUCAUAUCGACGGCGGUGUUUGGCACCUCGAUGUCGGCUCAUCACAUCCUGGGGCUGAAGUAGGUCCCAAGGGUAUGGCUGUUCGCCAUUUAAAGUGGUACGCGAGCUGGGUUUAGAACGUCGUGAGACAGUUCGGUCCCUAUCUGCCGUGGGCGCUGGAGAACUGAGGGGGGCUGCUCCUAGUACGAGAGGACCGGAGUGGACGCAUCACUGGUGUUCGGGUUGUCAUGCCAAUGGCACUGCCCGGUAGCUAAAUGCGGAAGAGAUAAGUGCUGAAAGCAUCUAAGCACGAAACUUGCCCCGAGAUGAGUUCUCCCUGAGACUUUAGGUCUCCUGAAGGAACGUUGAAGACGACGACGUUGAUAGGCCGGGUGUGUAAGCGCAGCGAUGCGUUGAGCUAACCGGUACUAAUGAACCGUGAGGCUUAACCUUACAACGCCGAAG